AGAGUUUGAUCCUGGCUCAGGACGAACGCUGGCGGCGUGCUUAACACAUGCAAGUCGAGCGAGAGAGUCUCUUCGGAGGCAAUCUAGCGGCGGACGGGUGAGUAACACGUGGGCAACCUGCCUUAUAGAGGGGAAUAGCCUUCCGAAAGGAAGAUUAAUACCGCAUAGUAUCCAACUACCGCAUGGUGGAUGGAUGAAAG
Molecule: ribosomal RNA, 200 nt
Filed under: uncultured bacterium
Lineage: Bacteria
Description: partial 16S ribosomal RNA
Rfam family: Bacterial small subunit ribosomal RNA
Source: RNAcentral